GAGAUGGAUUGGUGCCUUCGGGAACUGUGAGACAGGUGCUGCAUGGCUGUCGUCAGCUCGUGUUGUGAAAUGUUGGGUUAAGUCCCGCAACGAGCGCAACCCUUAUCCUUUGUUGCCAGCGAUUAGGUCGGGAACUCAAAGGAGACUGCCAGUGAUAAACUGGAGGAAGGUGGGGAUGACGUCAAGUCAUCAUGGCCCUUACGACCAGGGCUACACACGUGCUACAAUGGCGCAUACAAAGAGAAGCGACCUCGCGAGAGCAAGCGGACCUCAUAAAGUGCGUCGUAGUCCGGAUUGGAGUCUGCAACUCGACUCCAUGAAGUCGGAAUCGCUAGUAAUCGUGGAUCAGAAUGCCACGGUGAAUACGUUCCCGGGCCUUGUACACACCGCCCGUCACACCAUGGGAGUGGGUUGCAAAAGAAGUAGGUAGCUUAACCUUCGGGAGGGCGCUUACCACUUUGUGAUUCAUGACUGGGGUGAAGUCGUAACAAGGUAACCGUAGGGGAACCUGCGGUUGGAUCACCUCCUUACCUUAAAGAA
This 540-nucleotide ribosomal RNA is filed under the name Salmonella enterica subsp. enterica serovar Typhimurium. RNAcentral's name for it is "bacterial SSU rRNA". It matches the Rfam family "Bacterial small subunit ribosomal RNA", at positions 1003 to 1533 of the family's 1533-position model. Lineage: Bacteria; Pseudomonadati; Pseudomonadota; Gammaproteobacteria; Enterobacterales; Enterobacteriaceae. The record is from RNAcentral.